GAUGAAGAACGUAGCGAAAUGCGAUAAGUAGUGUGAAUUGCAGAAUUCAGUGAAUCAUCGAAUCUUUGAACGCAAGUUGCGCCCGAAGCCUUUUGGCCGAGGGCACGUCUGCCUGGGCGUCACGCAUCGCGUCGCCCUCCACAAUUCUCCGUAAAGGGAACAUGUGUUUUGGGGGCGGAUAUUGGUCUCCCGUGCUCAUGGCGUGGUUGGCCGAAAUAGGAGUCCUUUCGAUGGACGCACGAACUAGUGGUGGUCGUAAAAACCCUCGUCUUUUGUUUCGUGCUGUUGCUCGCAAGGUAAACUCUUUAAAAACCCCAAUGUGUCGUCUCUUGACGACGCUUCGACCGCGACCCCAGGUCAGGCGGGACUACCCGCUGAGUUUAAGCAUAUCAAUAAGCGGAGGA
RNAcentral lists this unclassified non-coding RNA (404 nucleotides) under soil metagenome. Its description in RNAcentral is "partial contains 5.8S ribosomal RNA, internal transcribed spacer 2, and large subunit ribosomal RNA". The stretch from base 1 to 122 matches the Rfam family "5.8S ribosomal RNA", at positions 35 to 154 of the family's 154-position model. The record is from RNAcentral.